CCACGCCGUAAACGAUGAGUGCUAGGUGUCGGGAGUCAAAUCUCGGUGCCGCAGUUAACGCAAUAAGCACUCCGCCUGGGGAGUACGUACGCAAGUAUGAAACUCAAAGGAAUUGACGGGGGCCCGCACAAGCGGCGGAGCAUGCGGAUUAAUUCGAUGCAACGCGAAGAACCUUACCAAGGCUUGACAUACACCGGGAUUGGCUAGAGAUAGUUGAGUCUUUGGACUGGUGUACAGGUGGUGCAUGGUUGU
RNAcentral lists this ribosomal RNA (252 nucleotides) under uncultured bacterium. RNAcentral's name for it is "partial 16S ribosomal RNA". It matches the Rfam family "Bacterial small subunit ribosomal RNA", at positions 795 to 1052 of the family's 1533-position model. The record is from RNAcentral.